Hipposideros armiger (great roundleaf bat) is the source of this 937-nucleotide long non-coding RNA. RefSeq lists it as uncharacterized. The record is from RefSeq and is a predicted model, not a curated record. The transcript has 4 exons. NCBI's taxonomy places the organism in Eukaryota, Metazoa, Chordata, Mammalia, Chiroptera, Hipposideridae.
UUGCCUGACCUCAUGCAGGGUACUGAUGACCAACAGAUGACCCAAACUUGGUUCCUGCCCUUAUACAGAGAUGGGAGAGGUGGAUGUGGCUAUAGGGUGACAGUACAGAGAAGCUAUCACUACCCCAGAGGGCUGUGCUUGGACUAUGGAAGACCGGAGGAGGGAGCCACUCACUCUGCCAGGAGAGUCAGGAAAGGCUUCGUGCAGGAGAUGGGGAAACUGAGGCCCAAGAGGGGUGACCAGUUGUCCGAGGUCCCAGAAUGGGUUGAGGACAGAGCCAAGACCAGAACCAGAACUCCGUUUCAGCUUCUCCCAGGAAGCCCUGAUGGGGAGUUGUUCCCUCAGUAUCCGCUGGGAUUGGCUCCAGGACCCCCGCGGCUCCAGGACCCCCGCAGAUAUCAGUGUCUGCGGACACUCAAGUCCCUUAUAGAAAAUGGUGUAGAACAAUGCACACAGUCAGCCCCGUGCAUUCACAGACUCCCGUUCGUUGAAUCCUUGGAUGUGAAACCUGCGGGUACAGAGGGCCGACUGUAAUCCUCACAACCUCGUGAGUAAUGACUAUUCAACAACUGGCAUACAAAAUUUCUGGAACUUGAGCAACUGGCCCUUGCGAGCAGGUGUGAGCCAGCUUUGGUGCACUGCUGGACUUGUCCCCACCUAAAGGCACCCCACGCGACAUUGUCAACAAAAGAACCCCCCUGACUGGAGAAACUGUGGUGAAGCCAUUUGCCCUGGGAAAGCUUGAGCUGGCUUAUGCCUUGGAACACAGGAAGAAACUUGAAGCCAUGACUCUAUCAAAUUCAAGGGCAGGACAUAUCAACAUGGCCAGUUUGGCGUGGCCAUUUUGAUUCCUUCAUAUAAAAAUGGGAGAUUGGGGCUGGCCGAGUGGCGCGAUGGUUAAGAACUCGCUUGGGACGCCAGAGGGCCCCGGUUCGGA